Molecule: ribosomal RNA, 254 nt
Filed under: uncultured bacterium
Lineage: Bacteria
Description: partial 16S ribosomal RNA
Rfam family: Bacterial small subunit ribosomal RNA
Source: RNAcentral
UACGAAGGGGGGCUAGCGUUGCUCGGAAUGACUGGGCGUAAAGGGCGCGUAGGCGGAUGGCACAGUCAGAUGUGAAAUUCCCGGGCUUAACCUGGGGGCUGCAUUUGAUACGUGUUGUCUUGAGUUCGGAAGAGGGUCGUGGAAUUCCCAGUGUAGAGGUGAAAUUCGUAGAUAUUAGGAAGAACACCGGUGGCGAAGGCGGCCCACUGGAUCGGUACUGACGCUGAGGUGCGAAAGCGUGGGGAGCAAACAGG